This 464-nucleotide ribosomal RNA is filed under the name Pseudomonas sp. LMG 20573. RNAcentral describes it as "bacterial SSU rRNA". It matches the Rfam family "Bacterial small subunit ribosomal RNA", at positions 30 to 487 of the family's 1533-position model. The record is from RNAcentral. Lineage: Bacteria; Pseudomonadati; Pseudomonadota; Gammaproteobacteria; Pseudomonadales; Pseudomonadaceae.
AUUGAACGCUGGCGGCAGGCCUAACACAUGCAAGUCGAGCGGAUGAAGAGAGCUUGCUCUCUGAUUCAGCGGCGGACGGGUGAGUAAUGCCUAGGAAUCUGCCUGGUAGUGGGGGACAACGUUUCGAAAGGAACGCUAAUACCGCAUACGUCCUACGGGAGAAAGCAGGGGACCUUCGGGCCUUGCGCUAUCAGAUGAGCCUAGGUCGGAUUAGCUAGUUGGUGAGGUAAUGGCUCACCAAGGCGACGAUCCGUAACUGGUCUGAGAGGAUGAUCAGUCACACUGGAACUGAGACACGGUCCAGACUCCUACGGGAGGCAGCAGUGGGGAAUAUUGGACAAUGGGCGAAAGCCUGAUCCAGCCAUGCCGCGUGUGUGAAGAAGGUCUUCGGAUUGUAAAGCACUUUAAGUUGGGAGGAAGGGCAGUAAGCGAAUACCUUGCUGUUUUGACGUUACCGACAGAAU